AGUCUUGAAGAGUCACUUGGAAGUAAAUGUGUAAGUAAAGAAUUAAUAAUAUUUACUUCAGUUAGUCUCCAAGAAUAUAACUGUCAUUUUCUCAUUUAUCUGCCCACUGUGAAAUUAACAAAUCAUAUUGAUAACUAAUCUUUAAAGCAGCAGUUGUCAUUCCUUUAAACAAAAACCCUUAGCAUAAUCAAAGUGUUUACUGAUAUAUAAACUUUGAAUUUUGUAUGUCAUGAAUUGCUCUUUCCAUUGAUAUUUAAAACUAUGGCCUUCAAGUAUAUAUCUCAGUACAUAUAUCCUUUUUUUUUUUUUUUUUUUUUUUAAUUUCAGAUAAUAUAUUAGUUCUUUUCUUUUAUAGGGAUUCAGGAGAGAAUGACGACAGAUGAGGACAUCUGCAGGCUCCUGGAUCCCUGCAGUGAAGUGCAGAGGACUUUAGAAAGAGCCCUCACAGGAGAGAGCAUACCACAUCAGCUCUCCUUGCAAGAGUGCAAAGAACUGCACUUGAAAUUGAACAUGAUUGACGAAUGGGAGGAGCAAUUAGAGGCCCUCAUCGAAGCAGGUAAUUUAGAGUAAAAAUCUUUUUAGCAUAUGCUGGAAUCUUUCAUGUAUAUUUAUUGUUAUUUUCUUCUUUUUAACUCGAUGGUUAGUGCAUUAUUUUCCAAUUGGCUUUAGUUAAUCUUGUAAUGGUAAUAAAAGUUUCAGUAAAAUCAAGCUGCUUCAGAUGCAUUGAACCUUCUUAGAUUUGAACUCAUAGAAUUUUACAUUACAUCAUCCUUCUUCUAAAGAAGUAUUUGUGCUAGAGACAUAGAAUAAGAACUUAGUUCCAAGAAGAAUUAAGCAAACUGUUUCAUUGAUAAAGCUUUAG
Long non-coding RNA from Stegodyphus dumicola, 862 nucleotides. NCBI's taxonomy places the organism in Eukaryota, Metazoa, Arthropoda, Arachnida, Araneae, Eresidae. The record is from RefSeq and is a predicted model, not a curated record.